UGAUGGAGAGUUUGAUCCUGGCUCAGGACGAACGCUGGCGGCGUGCUUAACACAUGCAAGUCGAGCGGAAAGGCCCUUCGGGGUACUCGAGCGGCGAACGGGUGAGU
Molecule: ribosomal RNA, 107 nt
Filed under: Actinomadura craniellae
Lineage: Bacteria; Bacillati; Actinomycetota; Actinomycetes; Streptosporangiales; Thermomonosporaceae
Description: Actinomadura sp. LHW63021 partial 16S ribosomal RNA
Rfam family: Bacterial small subunit ribosomal RNA
Source: RNAcentral